This 425-nucleotide ribosomal RNA is filed under the name uncultured bacterium. RNAcentral describes it as "partial 16S ribosomal RNA". It matches the Rfam family "Bacterial small subunit ribosomal RNA", at positions 354 to 796 of the family's 1533-position model. The record is from RNAcentral.
GUGGGGAAUCUUGCGCAAUGGGCGAAAGCCUGACGCAGCCAUGCCGCGUGAAUGAUGAAGGUCUUAGGAUUGUAAAAUUCUUUCACCGGGGACGAUAAUGACGGUACCCGGAGAAGAAGCUCCGGCUAACUUCGUGCCAGCAGCCGCGGUAAUACGAAGGGGGCUAGCGUUGCUCGGAAUUACUGGGCGUAAAGGGCGCGUAGGCGGACAGCUUAGUCAGAGGUGGAAGCCCAGGGCUCAACCUUGGAAUUGCCUUUGAUACUGGCUGUCUUGAGUUUGGGAGAGGUGAGUGGAACUCCGAGUGUAGAGGUGAAAUUCGUAGAUAUUCGGAAGAACACCAGUGGCGAAGGCGACUCACUGGCCCAAUACUGACGCUGAGGCGCGAAAGCGUGGGGAGCAAACAGGAUUAGAAACCCCUGUAGUCC